This is a non-coding RNA of Oncorhynchus mykiss (rainbow trout), 227 nucleotides long. The record is from RefSeq and is a predicted model, not a curated record. Lineage: Eukaryota; Metazoa; Chordata; Actinopteri; Salmoniformes; Salmonidae.
CAUUUUCACACACCAUUUUAUUCAAAUGUCAGAUUACUCCAUCUCUAUUGCUGAGGAGGUUAAGAUUCAGGACCCUGACAAGAAUCAACCAGCAAAGCUCAAAGAUUCCUCCAUCUUCUUGGCUGGUGCUGAGGUCAAACAGACCCAGUGCAAAGAUGUCUCCUUGGUUGCUGCAGCUGAGUCAAAGACUCUGAACCCUCAGGAGGAGCAGCCAGCAAAGUGUAAAG